This 378-nucleotide unclassified non-coding RNA is filed under the name Senecio citriceps. RNAcentral's name for it is "partial external transcribed spacer". The stretch from base 328 to 378 matches the Rfam family "Eukaryotic small subunit ribosomal RNA", at positions 1 to 51 of the family's 1831-position model. The record is from RNAcentral. Lineage: Eukaryota; Viridiplantae; Streptophyta; Magnoliopsida; Asterales; Asteraceae.
UUGUAUCGUCUUGAGCGUAUUGUGGGUUUCCUGUGUUGCAUACCUAACUAAUGGUAUCGUUUUGAUUGAUCGAAGUCCCUUUUCAUCUUGUGUUGCCUUUGCGACGCAUGAUGAACCUUGAAGUGGUCUCUAUGUUCCACUACGUUGAUGCUAAUGUUUCGAUGUUGUGGCCCAUUGAGUGUUGCUUGGUUUCGUGGAUACAGAACGUGAUUUGGGCAUAGGGUCACUCGUGACUCUUGUUUUGUCCUUUACCAGUGUUCUUUAUAACGACGGUUCAUGCGCGCCUAGGCUCGUACCUGCGCGAUGUUCUUUGUCGAAGAGGAAUGCUACCUGGUUGAUCCUGCCAGUAGUCAUAUGCUUGUCUCAAAGAUUAAGCCA